Long non-coding RNA from Oryzias melastigma (Indian medaka), 434 nucleotides. RefSeq lists it as uncharacterized. NCBI's taxonomy places the organism in Eukaryota, Metazoa, Chordata, Actinopteri, Beloniformes, Adrianichthyidae. The transcript has 2 exons. The record is from RefSeq and is a predicted model, not a curated record.
GGGGCCAGUGCUGAUCUCCUCCAUGUCCUUGGCUUUGUUGUAACUCUGAACGUCCCAGUGAAGAUUGACGGCCCGCCAGCGCAUGAAGACGUUGUACACUGCUGCCCCCUCAUGGACAAUCAGACCUGGAACUCACCGACGCAGACCAGGUCCAUGAAGCCGUACAUGGCGUAGCAGAUCUGGAAGAGCACGUCGCGGCGCUGCCAAAUGGCCUGAGGGCUCAGCGCCGACCAGAAGAGCCAGGAGAUGCUGGCCACCAGGAAGAGAGAGCCCAGCAGCACGGCGAUGAUCUGCACCUUCUCCACCAGGGUGAUGGUGAUGGACUGCCACUGAGGAGAACGGGAACACUUCAGCUCCAACAGAGACGAUGGAGCAAAUACAAUUGAAACAAUGAAAAGAGACUUUUAUGACUACAUUUAGAAGUUUAAAAAAAA